UACGUAGGGUGCGAGCGUUGUCCGGAAUUACUGGGCGUAAAGAGCUCGUAGGUGGUUUGUCGCGUUGUUCGUGAAAUCUCACGGCUUAACUGUGAGCGUGCGGGCGAUACGGGCAGACUAGAGUACUGCAGGGGAGACUGGAAUUCCUGGUGUAGCGGUGGAAUGCGCAGAUAUCAGGAGGAACACCGGUGGCGAAGGCGGGUCUCUGGGCAGUAACUGACGCUGAGGAGCGAAAGCGUGGGGAGCGAUCCGG
This 253-nucleotide ribosomal RNA is filed under the name uncultured bacterium. Its description in RNAcentral is "partial 16S ribosomal RNA". It matches the Rfam family "Bacterial small subunit ribosomal RNA", at positions 524 to 776 of the family's 1533-position model. The record is from RNAcentral.